UACGAAGGGGGCUAGCGUUGCUCGGAAUGACUGGGCGUAAAGGGCGCGUAGGCGGAUGACACAGUCAGGCGUGAAAUUCCUGGGCUCAACCUGGGGGCUGCGUUUGAUACAUGUUGUCUUGAGUUUGGAAGAGGGUCGUGGAAUUCCCAGUGUAGAGGUGAAAUUCGUAGAUAUUGGGAAGAACACCGGUGGCGAAGGCGGCGACCUGGUCCGAUACUGACGCUGAGGCGCGAAAGCGUGGGGAGCAAACAGG
Molecule: ribosomal RNA, 253 nt
Filed under: uncultured bacterium
Lineage: Bacteria
Description: partial 16S ribosomal RNA
Rfam family: Bacterial small subunit ribosomal RNA
Source: RNAcentral